Molecule: ribosomal RNA, 408 nt
Filed under: uncultured bacterium
Lineage: Bacteria
Description: partial 16S ribosomal RNA
Rfam family: Bacterial small subunit ribosomal RNA
Source: RNAcentral
GACGAACGCUGGCGGCGUGCUUAACACAUGCAAGUCGAACGGAGUGGCGAACGGGUGAGUAACACGUGGGUGAUCUGCCUUGCACUUCGGGAUAAGCUUGGGAAACUGGGUCUAAUACCGGAUAGUGCAAGAUGAGCUCGCGGCCUAUCGGCUUGUUGGUGGGGUAAUGGCCUACCAAGGCGUCGACGGGUGGCCGGCCUGAGAGGGUGUACGGCCACAUUGGGACUGAGAUAGGGGCAGGACUGCUACGGGGGCCAGCAGUGGGGAAUAUUGCACAAUUGGCGGAGGCCUGGUGCAGCGACGCCGGGGGGGGGAUGAAGGCCUUCGGGUUGGAAACUCCUUUCGACAGGGACGCGGUACCUGUAUAAGAAGCACCGGCUAACUACGUGCCAGCAGCCGCGGUAAUAC